RNAcentral lists this long non-coding RNA (2082 nucleotides) under Macaca fascicularis (crab-eating macaque). Its description in RNAcentral is "lncRNA (ENSMFAG00000064216.1)". Lineage: Eukaryota; Metazoa; Chordata; Mammalia; Primates; Cercopithecidae. The record is from RNAcentral.
GUCUCGUUCCUCUCUCGUGGCUGGCACGGAACCAGCAGAGAGGCCCAGCCUGCGUGCUCUUCAGCACCCCAGGCACCAUCCCGGCCAGCUGGGGAGCGUCUGUGCCCAGAUGCCCUUGACAUCCCUCUUCUCUGCAUCUCACAGCUGUGUGGGGUGACUGGGCAUGAGUCAUCAGCCACUGGGGCCUCCCACCUGCCCCAGGUGAGCACAGCCUCUGUAGGGGCCACCCAGUGAAUCGGCAGCCAUGGGAACUUCCCUAGCACCUCCUCCCCAGGGUGUCCACCCAGGCCACCUCCUUUCUCUGCCGCCUCCUCCAGGCAGGACAUCCCACCCAACUUAGCUGGCAGAGCUCUAGAGGUCAGGCUAAGUGACCAGGUAACAUGGGGUAGCCCUGGCCAGUCCCAAGCAUGUUCCCUGGGGAGGCCACUGGGAGGUAUGUCCCUGGGGCUGGAGCAGGCUGAGGGCAUUCUGGGUCAAAUUAACGCAAGAUUUGGGACCUCUGAAACAGAGCUCUGAGCACAUGCUGGGAAGUUGGGGGCGGGUAGAAGAGCUGCUGGGAGGGCCCAGCACAGUGCGGGAUGCAGGAUGCGGGAUGCUCAAGGAGGGACAGCUGCACAACUGGGAGUUGCGAUGAUGUCGAGGAACGGGGAGGCAUUGAAGGCAGCUGACUCCAGACCAGCUCUGUCUGCUCCAACGCAGCACUGAGGCAUCCACUCGAGGCAGGCAACUCAAGUCAGAGCAGACCCAAAGGAACAAAGAGAGAAAAAUUUAAAAGGCAGAAAGCAGUGGGGCAAGAAGGGAAGAGAGAGAGAGGGAAGAAUGAGGAUUAAAGAACCCAAAAGCUGGGCCAUGGUGGCUCACGCCUGUAAUCCCAGCAUUUUGGGAGGCUGAGGCAGGCAGAUCACCUGAGGUCAGGAGUUCGAGACCAGCCUGGCCAACAUGGAGAAACCCCAUCUCUACUAAAAAUACAAAAAUUAGGCCGGGCUCGGUGGCUCACGCCUGUAAUCCUAGCACUCUGUGAGACCGACGCAGGUGGAUCACCUGAGGUCAGGAGUUCAAGACUAGCCUGGCCAACACAGAGAAACCCCGUCUCUACUAAAAAUAUAAAAUUAGCCGGCCGUGGUGAUACAUGCCUGUAAUCCCAGCUACUCAGGAGGCUAAGGCAGGAGAAUCACUUGAAUGGGGGCGGGGGGUGGGGGCGGAGAUCGUGGUGAGCCAAGAUUGUGCCACUGCACUCCAGCCUGGACAACAGGAGCGAAACUCUGUCUCGAAUAAAUAAAUAAAUACAAAAUUAGCUGGACCUAUAGUCCCAGCUACUCGGGAGGAUGAGGCAGGAGAAUUGCUUGAACCCAGGAGGCAGAGCUUCCAGUGAGCCGAGAUUGUGCCACUGCACUCCAGCCUGGGUGACAGAGUGAGACUCUGUCUCAGAAAACAACAAAACCCCCAAAAGCGGAGGCAUGGGAGGAAUGACCCCGUGAAAGCGCCCUGCAGGAAUGAAGAAAGGAAAACUCAAGACCGCACAAACAAAACACAAGCAAGGAAGUGACUGCAGAGUUGUAAAUAAUAUAAUUAGAAUCACUUACAAACCAGUAACACUGAAAACCGGCAUGAAGUCGCUAAAUUCCUAGAAAACUAUAAAAUGAGAAAAACAAAACAAAAAAAGGCAAAAAACCGAAUAGAUUGAAAGUGUUUGUGGGGGCCCGCCCUCCUCCAGCACGGGGCCUAGGCUGCUGGAUGAGUGAGUUCCACUCAGCUUCUGGGGCCAGUUAAUUCCUGUCUCGGACAAAAUGUUCCAGAAAGUCAAAAGAGUGGGAUGUGUCCAGCCCACUUUAUGAGGCUAGGGCGAUAGCAACUCCAAACCAACAAGAACAGACAAAAACAGAACACGAGAGGCCUGUUUCACUCCAGAUUUUAGGUGCAAAAAACACGAAAUAAAAUAUUAGGGGCCAGGUGAAGUGGCUCAUGCCUGUAAUCCCAGCCCCCUGGCAGGCUGAACGCGGGGGAUCACUUGAGCCCAGGAGUUCAAGACUAGCCUGGGCCACUUGGUGAGAUCCUGUCUCUACUAAAAAAAAAAAAAAAAAA